UUAUAAUAUCUAAUCACCUCCUACAUUACCAAGCAAAUCCAGAAACUUCUCCUUCCAUCUUCUUAUACACUCUUCUUUAAAUUAUUAUUACCUAAUCACCACCUUUAUUAGCAAGCAAAUCUAGAAACUCCUCACUUCAGCUUCUUAGCUUGUUCUUAGAAAGUAGAAAUAUCAAAAAAAGUAGCUCUCUUUUUUCGAUCUUCCUCUUUCUCUGUCCAAGGUUUGACUCUGUGUUGCAGUAAUUGUGUACAUAUGCAGGUUCAGUUUGUUUGAUUUAAGUAAGUGUCACUCUUCUGCAUUGUUAGAUUAUCGUCUAAUUGCUUCUUCAAUUUAUUUUGUUGUUAUAA
Molecule: long non-coding RNA, 347 nt
Organism: Lycium barbarum (goji berry)
Lineage: Eukaryota; Viridiplantae; Streptophyta; Magnoliopsida; Solanales; Solanaceae
Exons: 2
Source: RefSeq, a predicted model, not a curated record